CAAACUGACUUAAAAAGACAGGGACAAUGCA
This 31-nucleotide non-coding RNA is filed under the name Mus musculus (house mouse). The record is from RNAcentral. Lineage: Eukaryota; Metazoa; Chordata; Mammalia; Rodentia; Muridae.